Molecule: ribosomal RNA, 494 nt
Filed under: uncultured bacterium
Lineage: Bacteria
Description: partial 16S ribosomal RNA
Rfam family: Bacterial small subunit ribosomal RNA
Source: RNAcentral
GACGAACGCUGGCGGCGUGCUUAACACAUGCAAGUCGAACGGUGAAGCGCCUUCCUUUUUGGUGGGUGUGGAUGAGUGGCGAACGGGUGAGUAACACGUGAGUAACCUGCCCCCUUCUUCUGGAUAACCGCAUGAAAGUGUGGCUAAUACGGGAUAUUCUGGGUCUGUCGCAUGAUGGGUCUGGGAAAGAUAUUGUUUCGGUGGGGGAUGGGCUCGCGGCCUAUCAGCUUGUUGGUGGGGUGAUGGCCUACCAAGGCGGUGACGGGUAGCCGGCCUGAGAGGGUGGAUGGUCACACUGGGACUGAGACACGGCCCAGACUCCUACGGGAGGCAGCAGUGGGGAAUAUUGCACAAUGGGCGCAAGCCUGAUGCAGCGACGCCGCGUGAGGGAUGGAGGCCUUCGGGUUGUGAACCUCUUUCGCCAGUGAAGCAGGCCUGCCUCGUUUGUGGGUGGGUUGACGGUAGCUGGAUAAGAAGCGCCGGCUAACUACGUG